RNAcentral lists this ribosomal RNA (459 nucleotides) under uncultured Bacillus sp. Its description in RNAcentral is "partial 16S ribosomal RNA". It matches the Rfam family "Bacterial small subunit ribosomal RNA", at positions 341 to 792 of the family's 1533-position model. Lineage: Bacteria; Bacillati; Bacillota; Bacilli; Caryophanales; Bacillaceae. The record is from RNAcentral.
ACGGGAGGCAGCAGUAGGGAAUCUUCCGCAAUGGACGAAAGUCUGACGGAGCAACGCCGCGUGAGUGAUGAAGGUUUUCGGAUCGUAAAACUCUGUUGUUAGGGAAGAACAAGUACGAGAGUAACUGCUCGUACCUUGACGGUACCUAACCAGAAAGCCACGGCUAACUACGUGCCAGCAGCCGCGGUAAUACGUAGGUGGCAAGCGUUGUCCGGAAUUAUUGGGCGUAAAGCGCGCGCAGGCGGUCCUUUAAGUCUGAUGUGAAAGCCCACGGCUCAACCGUGGAGGGUCAUUGGAAACUGGGGGACUUGAGUGCAGGAGAGAAGAGUGGAAUUCCACGUGUAGCGGUGAAAUGCGUAGAGAUGUGGAGGAACACCAGUGGCGAAGGCGACUCUUUGGCCUGUAACUGACGCUGAGGCGCGAAAGCGUGGGGAGCAAACAGGAUUAGAUACCCUGGUA